RNAcentral lists this unclassified non-coding RNA (213 nucleotides) under plant metagenome. RNAcentral describes it as "partial contains small subunit ribosomal RNA, internal transcribed spacer 1, and 5.8S ribosomal RNA". The record is from RNAcentral.
UCUCCGUAGGUGAACCUGCGGAGGGAUCACUACAGGCUUGCAAAGGCUCUGAAACCACUGUUUAUCUACCUGAAUCUGCUUCGGCGGGCGGCCCCAGGGCGGGGCCGUAGCCGCGAGGCGCCCGCCGAAGACCCCUAAACUCUGUCGUCUUGAGAAUCUCUGAGUAUCAUAUUAAACAAAAAACAACUUUCAACAACGGAUCUCUUGGCUCUG